This 433-nucleotide ribosomal RNA is filed under the name uncultured bacterium. Its description in RNAcentral is "partial 16S ribosomal RNA". It matches the Rfam family "Bacterial small subunit ribosomal RNA", at positions 29 to 507 of the family's 1533-position model. The record is from RNAcentral.
AACGAACGCUGGCGGCAUGCCUAACACAUGCAAGUCGAACGAGACCUUCGGGUCUAGUGGCGCACGGGUGCGUAACGCGUGGGAACCUGCCCUUAGGUUCGGAAUAACUCCCCGAAAGGGGUGCUAAUACCGGAUAAUGUCUUCGGACCAAAGAUUUAUCGCCUUUGGAUGGGCCCGCGUUGGAUUAGCUAGUUGGUAGGGUAAAAGCCUACCAAGGCGACGAUCCAUAGCUGGUCUGAGAGGAUGAUCAGCCACACUGGGACUGAGACACGGCCCAGACUCCUACGGGAGGCAGCAGUGGGGAAUAUUGGACGAUGGGCGAAAGCCUGAUCCAGCAAUGCCGCGUGAGUGGUGAGGGCCGUAGGGUUGUAAAGCUCUUUUACCCGGGAUGAUAAUGACAGUACCGGGAGAAUAAGCUCCGGCUAACUCCGUG